CUGAGACAUGAUGGGUCGAUUACUUUGGUAAUCGUAAGAGUGAUCCUAUGCUGCCUAGAAAAGCUUCGUGAGCGAGAUACUAGCCGCCCGUACCCCAAACCGACACAGGUGGAUAGGUAGAGAAUACUAAGGCGAUCGAGAUAACCAUGGUGAAGGAACUCGGCAAAAUACCCCCGUAACUUCGGAAUAAGGGGGACCUGAGACGUAUUAGAAUUUACUUCGAAAGCGUCGAGGGUCGCAGAGACCAGGCCCAAGCGACUGUUUACUAAAAACACAGGUCCGUGCUAAGUCGUAAGACGAUGUAUACGGACUGACUCCUGCCCGGUGCUGGAAGGUUAAGGGGAAGGGUUAGCUUCGGCGAAGCCUUGAACUUAAGCCCCAGUAAACGGCGGUGGUAACUAUAACCAUCCUAAGGUAGCGAAAUUCCUUGUCGGGUAAGUUCCGACCUGCACGAAUGGAGUAACGACUUGGGCGCUGUCUCCACCAUGGACUCGGCGAAAUUGCACUACGAGUAAAGAUGCUCGUUACGCGCAGCAGGACGGAAAGACCCCGGGACCUUCACUAUAGUUUGGUAUUGGUGAUCGGAGUGACUUGUGUAGGAUAGGUGGGAGACUUAGAAGCUUGGACGCCAGUUCAGGUGGAGUCAUCGUUGAAAUACCACUCUGGUCACUUUGGUUAUCUAACCUAGGUCCAUUAUCUGGAUCAGGGACAGUGCCUGAUGGGUAGUUUGACUGGGGCGGUCGCCUCCUAAAAGGUAACGGAGGCGCCCAAAGGUUCCCUCAGCCUGGUUGGCAAUCAGGUUUCGAGUGUAAGUGCACAAGGGAGCUUGACUGCGAGAGAGACAUCUCAAGCAGGGACGAAAGUCGGGACUAGUGAUCUUCUGGUGGCACAUGGAAGCGCCAGGACUCAACGGAUAAAAGGUACCCCGGGGAUAACAGGCUGAUCUUGCCCGAGCGUCCAUAGCGACGGCAUGGUUUGGCACCUCGAUGUCGGCUCGUCGCAUCCUGGGGCUGGAGUCGGUCCCAAGGGUUGGGCUGUUCGCCCAUUAAAGCGGCACGCGAGCUGGGUUUAGAACGUCGUGAGACAGUUCGGUCCCUAUCCGCUGCGCGCGUAGGAGUCUUGAGAAGAGCUGUCCUUAGUACGAGAGGACCGGGACGGACUAACCUCUGGUGUGCCAGUUGUUCUACCAAGAGCACGGUUGGUUGGCUACGUUGGGAAGUGAUAACCGCUGAAAGCAUCUAAGCGGGAAGCACGCUUCAAGAUGAGGGCUCCCACAGAAUAAUCUGGUAAGGCCCCCUAUAGACCAUGGGGUGAUAGGUCGGAUGUGGAAGUGCAGCAAUGCACGGAGCUGACCGAUACUAAUAGGCCGAGGGCUUGUUC
This 1380-nucleotide ribosomal RNA is filed under the name metagenome. RNAcentral's name for it is "bacterial LSU rRNA". It matches the Rfam family "Bacterial large subunit ribosomal RNA", at positions 1556 to 2925 of the family's 2925-position model. The record is from RNAcentral.